UCCGACUGGAACUUCCUUCUCUGAUGGUCAAUGUUGCUGCUCUUGAUGAUGAAUUUUAACUAUUAGCUCGAUGUCUUCUGUGCAACAGUAAUUCACAACAUUUAGCAACAUGUUGAAGGUGGUUGUUGAAUCCGCCAAAGGAAUUCCUAAAAGACACUUGGAAUUCCAGACCCUAUAGCAGGAGUUAUCUUUAAGGGUGAAAAAAAGAAAACAAAAGCAAUUGACAAAGAAUUAAAUCCCGUGUGGAAUGAGAUUAUUGAGUUUGAUUUGAAAGGUACCCCGUUGGAUUCCUCUUCAUUCAUUGAUGUGGUUGUGAAAGACUAUGAAACCAUUGG
Long non-coding RNA from Onychostoma macrolepis, 335 nucleotides. RefSeq lists it as uncharacterized. Lineage: Eukaryota; Metazoa; Chordata; Actinopteri; Cypriniformes; Cyprinidae. The record is from RefSeq and is a predicted model, not a curated record. The transcript has 3 exons.